UCAGCGGCAGACGGGUGAGUAACACGUGGGAACGUACCCUUUGGUUCGGAAUAACGCUGGGAAACUAGCGCUAAUACCGGAUACGCCCUUUUGGGGAAAGGCUUGCUGCCGAAGGAUCGGCCCGCGUCUGAUUAGCUAGUUGGUGGGGUAAUGGCCUACCAAGGCGACGAUCAGUAGCUGGUCUGAGAGGAUGAUCAGCCACACUGGGACUGAGACACGGCCCAGACUCCUACGGGAGGCAGCAGUGGGGAAUAUUGGACAAUGGGCGCAAGCCUGAUCCAGCCAUGCCGCGUGAGUGAUGAAGGCCUUAGGGUUGUAAAGCUCUUUUGUCCGGGACGAUAAUGACGGUACCGGAAGAAUAAGCCCCGGCUAACUUCGUGCCAGCAGCCGCGGUAAUACGAAGGGGGCUAGCGUUGCUCGGAAUCACUGGGCGUAAAGGGCGCGUAGGCGGCCAUUCAAGUCGGGGGUGAAAGCCUGUGGCUCAACCACAGAAUUGCCUUCGAUACUGUUUGGCUUGAGUUUGGUAGAGGUUGGUGGAACUGCGAGUGUAGA
RNAcentral lists this ribosomal RNA (552 nucleotides) under Methylobacterium goesingense. Its description in RNAcentral is "bacterial SSU rRNA". It matches the Rfam family "Bacterial small subunit ribosomal RNA", at positions 92 to 679 of the family's 1533-position model. The record is from RNAcentral. Lineage: Bacteria; Pseudomonadati; Pseudomonadota; Alphaproteobacteria; Hyphomicrobiales; Methylobacteriaceae.